This 72-nucleotide transfer RNA is filed under the name Didymosphenia geminata (rock snot). Its description in RNAcentral is "tRNA-Pro". It matches the Rfam family "tRNA". Rfam says of the family: Transfer RNA (tRNA) molecules are approximately 80 nucleotides in length. Lineage: Eukaryota; Bacillariophyta; Bacillariophyceae; Cymbellales; Cymbellaceae. The record is from RNAcentral.
CAGAAUGUAGCGCAGUGGUAGCGUAUCUGCUUUGGGAGUAGAAAGUCGUGUGUUCGAAUCACACCAUUUUGA